UGAGGAAUAUUGCACAAUGGGCGCAAGCCUGAUGCAGCGACGCCGCGUGUGGGAUGAAGGGGCUACGCCUCGUAAACCACUGUAGCCCGGGACGAAAAACGCCUUAGAGGCGUUAGACGGUACCGGGAAAGUAAGGGUCGGCUAACUACGUGCCAGCAGCCGCGGUCAUACGUAGGACCCAAGCGUUGUCCGGAUUUACUGGGUGUAAAGGGUGCGCAGGCGGAUGGGUAAGUCAGGGGUGAAAGUCUGCAGCUUAACUGUAGAAUUGCCUUUGAUACUGCUCAUCUUGAGUGUGGGAGAGGUUGAUUGAAUUCCAGGUGGAGCAGUGAAAUGCGUAGAUAUCUGGAAGAACACCAGUGGCGAAGGCGGUCAACUGGCCCAUAACUAACGCUCAUGCACGAAAGCGUGGGGAGCAAACA
This 419-nucleotide ribosomal RNA is filed under the name uncultured bacterium. Its description in RNAcentral is "bacterial SSU rRNA". It matches the Rfam family "Bacterial small subunit ribosomal RNA", at positions 355 to 774 of the family's 1533-position model. The record is from RNAcentral.